UUAAAGAUAGUUUAAUAAAAAUAUUAGCUUUGGGAGUUAAUGAUCAAAGGUAACUUUGUCUUUAAA
RNAcentral lists this transfer RNA (66 nucleotides) under Hoploplana elisabelloi. RNAcentral describes it as "tRNA-Pro". It matches the Rfam family "tRNA". From Rfam's summary of the family: Transfer RNA (tRNA) molecules are approximately 80 nucleotides in length. The record is from RNAcentral. Lineage: Eukaryota; Metazoa; Platyhelminthes; Polycladida; Hoploplanidae.